GAUGCCUGGAGACCCAGCUUGCUUGACUCAUUAACUUCCUUACAGAGUAAUAAAGGAGGCUCCAGAUGGUCAGAAUUUUGCGAGAACUGAGAUAAUUUUCUUUCAGAUGAAGAAUUUAUUUUAAAACUUGAGAUAAGACGAAAUCUGUGCGUUGCACUUUCCUGCUGCUCGCCAUUUGCCAUGGCAGGGUAUUCACAGGAGCAGAGGGGUUCAUUAAGCAGCUCAGAAUUGCAAAAUCUGUUGGCAUGUACCACAUAAUAUUUGACAGCGGCUGCCUGUAAAUUACGAAGCAGCUAGUUGGAGCAGCAGCAGCAUAAUGAAGAUUUAUGGCUCCAGGACACAGGCUUAUGUGGAGAACAGUUGGUAAUAAGGGACCAGUUUCUCAUUAUGCAACCCAUGCCUUUUUUUAGGCUGUUGUAGACUCAGUACUUAAAUUUGUUACUUUGGAAGGUCUUGCAGUAGACAGAAGGCUUGCAGCAG
Long non-coding RNA from Strigops habroptila (Kakapo), 480 nucleotides. RefSeq lists it as uncharacterized. The record is from RefSeq and is a predicted model, not a curated record. The transcript is spliced from 3 exons. Lineage: Eukaryota; Metazoa; Chordata; Aves; Psittaciformes; Psittacidae.